Molecule: ribosomal RNA, 463 nt
Filed under: uncultured bacterium
Lineage: Bacteria
Description: bacterial SSU rRNA
Rfam family: Bacterial small subunit ribosomal RNA
Source: RNAcentral
GGACCCGCACAAGCAGCGGAGCAUGUGGUUUAAUUCGAAGCAACGCGAAGAACCUUACCAGGACUUGACAUCCCUCUGACCUACCCUUAAUCGGAUACUCUCUUCGGAGCAGAGGUGACAGGUGGUGCAUGGUUGUCGUCAGCUCGUGUCGUGAGAUGUUGGGUUAAGUCCCGCAACGAGCGCAACCCUUAUUGUUAGUUGCCAUCAUUAAGUUGGGCACUCUAAUGAGACUGCCGGGGAUAACUCGGAGGAAGGUGGGGAUGACGUCAAAUCAUCAUGCCCCUUAUGUCCUGGGCUACACACGUGCUACAAUGGUCGGUACAGAGAGACGCAAUACGGUGACGUGGAGCAAAUCUUCAAAACCGACCCCAGUUCGGAUUGUAGGCUGAAACUCGCCUACAUGAAGUCGGAGUUGCUAGUAAUCGCAGAUCAGAAUGCUGCGGUGAAUGCGUUCCCGGGUCUU